GCGGGAUUAGUUAAAUGGUAUAACAUCAGUUUUCCAAACUGAGGUCGGGAGUUCGAUUCUCCCAUCCCGCA
Molecule: transfer RNA, 71 nt
Filed under: Parcubacteria group bacterium
Lineage: Bacteria
Description: tRNA-Gly
Rfam family: tRNA
About the family: Transfer RNA (tRNA) molecules are approximately 80 nucleotides in length. Their secondary structure includes four short double-helical elements and three loops (D, anti-codon, and T loops).
Source: RNAcentral